UAGGGAAUAUUGCACAAUGGGCGAUAGCCUGAUGCAGCAACGCCGCGUGCGCGAUGACGGCCUUCGGGUUGUAAAGCGCUUUUCGGGGAGAUGAGGAAGGACAGUAUCCCCGGAAUAAGGCUCGGCUAACUACGUGCCAGCAGCCGCGGUAACACGUAGGAGCCAAGCGUUAUCCGAAUUCACUGGGCGUAAAGCGCGUGUAGGCGGCUUGGUAAGUUGGAUGUGAAAGCUCCUGGCUCAACUGGGAGAGGACGUUCAAUACUGCCGGGCUAUAGGGCGACAGAAGGAGGUGGAAUUCCCGGUGUAGUGGUGAGAUGCGUAGGUAUCGGGAGGAGCACCAGUGGCAAUAGCUGCCUCCUGGGUCGCACCUGACGCUCAGACGCGAAAGCUAGGGG
This 395-nucleotide ribosomal RNA is filed under the name uncultured bacterium. RNAcentral describes it as "bacterial SSU rRNA". It matches the Rfam family "Bacterial small subunit ribosomal RNA", at positions 355 to 766 of the family's 1533-position model. The record is from RNAcentral.